This 458-nucleotide ribosomal RNA is filed under the name uncultured bacterium. RNAcentral describes it as "bacterial SSU rRNA". It matches the Rfam family "Bacterial small subunit ribosomal RNA", at positions 1 to 507 of the family's 1533-position model. The record is from RNAcentral.
AGUAGUUUGACUCCGUGGCUCAAGAACGAACGCUGGCGGCAGGCCUAACACAUGCAAGUCGAGCGCCCCAGCAAUGGGGAGCGGCAGACGGGUGAGUAACGCGUGGGUAUCUACCUAGUGGUGCGGAAUAGCCCAGGGAAACUUGGAGUAAUACCGCAUAAGCCCGAAAGGGGAAAGAUUUAUCGCCAUUAGAUGAGCCCGCGUUGGAUUAGCUAGUUGGUGGGGUAACGGCCCACCAAGGCGACGAUCCAUAGCUGGUCUGAGAGGAUGAUCAGCCACACUGGGACUGAGACACGGCCCAGACUCCUACGGGAGGCAGCAGGUGGGGAAUAUUGGACAAUGGGCGCAAGCCUGAUCCAGCCAUGCCGCGUGAGUGACGAAGGUCUUCGGAUUGUAAAGCUUCUUUGGCGGGGACGAUAAUGACGGUACCCGCAGAAUAAGCCCCGGCUAACUUCGUG